GUGUGUGUGUUAUGUGUUUUCUUUUCUUUAUCCUCUUUCACUUUCACUGCCACCCCUUUGAAACGUGCAUAGAAAGCUCACUUUUGCACUUGCAUGCGGGAAUAUAAAUUUAUAUACACAUAUAUACAUAUACACACACACAUGGUGUAUAUUCACAUUAUAUCUCUAUAGACUAUACUGCUAUAUAUACACACACAUAUAUUACAUAAGCAGUUUCACAUUAUAAGCUACAUUCCAUACGCCUUUGUUUGAAGAUCAUAGAUGUGGUUACUCAAAGGUAUGAAACUUUAUAUUCAUGAGAUGACCGGUGAAUGCUAUGAUCGUGGCAACGAACCUUGGAGAGCGUGCAUACACGUGAUGAUCAUAUGAUCAAAAUGGUUAUAUUUUAUCGAGAUGGGGAAUCAAGCACUGCUGGUCCGAUUACCACCCACAAUUCUAGUUUCACUGAUUAAUUCUUUGUCUCCUGUCUUUUAAUUAAGGAGUUUGUGUUGCAAUAUAUGCUUGUAUGAUGUGUUUUUUGGUUAAUUGAUGUAAUAAUAAUAAUAUUGUUUAAUCCAAAUAUAAACAUUUUAAUCUUAUGUGUUGAUUUGUUUUAUUGUUAGUCUAAGUUUGUAUCUGUUAACAAGUUACAAGUGUUUAAUAUAUGAAUCUUUAUAUUGU
Molecule: long non-coding RNA, 660 nt
Filed under: Helianthus annuus (common sunflower)
Lineage: Eukaryota; Viridiplantae; Streptophyta; Magnoliopsida; Asterales; Asteraceae
Description: hypothetical non coding rna
Source: RNAcentral